UUUGCGACACGCCGGUGGAUGGUUGUGUUUCCGGGGUUUUUGGGGUGUUUGGUUUGGUCGGGUUUGCGUUGGUGGCUGGGUUGGUGUAAGUUAUUCCCUUGCUGCCGGUCGGCGCGGGUCGCCCCGCUGGGGUGGUUCGGGUUGGCCGAGCGGUGGUGGUUUGAGAACUCAAGAGCGUGUUUGUACUACUUUGUAGAGUCAUUUUGAUUGCCAGUCCGAUUCCCGCUCCUUUGUUGGGAGUGGCCGAGGGGCCUGUGAUGGGGGUCGGGGUUUUGUGUGGAUCGUUUUCCUUAUAAACGGUCUCGUCAAUUAUGUUUGGAGUCAUCGUUCGGAUGUCUUCGCAAGGUUUUUUGUGGAGGGUUCGAUUCUGGCUCAGGAUGAACGCUGGCGGCGUGCUUAACACAUGCAAGUCGAACGGGAUCCCUGGCGCUUGCGCCGGGGUGAGAGUGGCGAACGGGUGAGUAAUGCGUGACCAACCUGCCCCAUGCACCGGAAUAGCUCCUGGAAACGGGUGGUAAUGCCGGAUGCUCCAGAUGACCGCAUGGGAUUCUGGGAAAGCUUUUGCGGCAUGGGAUGGGGUCGCGUCCUAUCAGCUUGUUGGUGGGGUGAUGGCCCACCAAGGCUUCGACGGGUAGCC
This 637-nucleotide ribosomal RNA is filed under the name Bifidobacterium pullorum subsp. gallinarum. RNAcentral's name for it is "Bifidobacterium gallinarum partial 16S ribosomal RNA". The stretch from base 350 to 637 matches the Rfam family "Bacterial small subunit ribosomal RNA", at positions 1 to 288 of the family's 1533-position model. Lineage: Bacteria; Bacillati; Actinomycetota; Actinomycetes; Bifidobacteriales; Bifidobacteriaceae. The record is from RNAcentral.